RNAcentral lists this ribosomal RNA (492 nucleotides) under uncultured bacterium. Its description in RNAcentral is "partial 16S ribosomal RNA". It matches the Rfam family "Bacterial small subunit ribosomal RNA", at positions 28 to 507 of the family's 1533-position model. The record is from RNAcentral.
GAUGAACGCUCGCUACAGGCUUAACACAUGCAAGUCGAGGGGAAACGACAUCGAAAGCUUGCUUUUGAUGGGCGUCGACCGGCGCACGGGUGAGUAACGCGUAUCCAACCUGCCCAUCACUUGGGAAUAACCUUGCGAAAGUAAGACUAAUACCCAAUGAUAUCCCACGAAGGCAUCGGAAUGGGAUUAAAGAUUUAUCGGUGAUGGAUGGGGAUGCGUCUGAUUAGCUUGUUGGCGGGGUAACGGCCCACCAAGGCAACGAUCAGUAGGGGUUCUGAGAGGAAGGUCCCCCACAUUGGAACUGAGACACGGUCCAAACUCCUACGGGAGGCAGCAGUGAGGAAUAUUGGUCAAUGGGCGAGAGCCUGAACCAGCCAAGUAGCGUGCAGGAAGACGGCCCUAUGGGUUGUAAACUGCUUUUAUAAGGGAAUAAAGUGGGUCACGUGUGACUUUUUGCAUGUACCUUAUGAAUAAGGACAGGCUAAUUCCGUG